Molecule: long non-coding RNA, 750 nt
Organism: Motacilla alba alba
Lineage: Eukaryota; Metazoa; Chordata; Aves; Passeriformes; Motacillidae
Exons: 3
Source: RefSeq, a predicted model, not a curated record
CCAGCAAUGCAGUGCAAUGCAGGUCCACAUCAGCUUCCUAAUUUCUCUUUAUUCUUUCUCAUUCAGCAGUUGGUCAGUUGUCCUCCGCUGAUGUUGUGUAAUUCCCUUUGUCAGCAGUUCAGGGAGAGCGCUGGCAGGUUGGACAGGGAUUAGAGAUGGACAGCAAGAGCUGGGAAGUGUGAAGAAGGUUCUGCCAAAUUUCAAGGCAAUUGGACUGCUGAGAGCAGCUCCACAGUGGAGCCCUUCAAGGCUCUGGAAGUGCUCCCAGGAGAGUUUGCCAUGGCAGAAGAAGCAUUUCCAUGCUGCCCCUUCCACUGCUCUGAGUAUUUCCGGGGUAAAACCACUGAAGAGCACUACCUAAAGGCUGCUACCUGCAGCUGAGCACAGGGACCAGUGGGAAAGGAUGUUGGAUCAGCAUUGUCUGUCCCUGUGCUGGUACUGUUCUCCCUGGGAGGGAGCUGGGAAAUCUGUAUUUCUGCUGCUGUGCUCCUCCUCAUGUUUGUCACAGCUGAUGCCGGCCCGUUUUCUCACUGAUGAUUCUGGACCUCUGCGUGUACCUGCUGGCCUUGGAAAUACCACUGGUGGUUAUUAAGAAAGGAGAAGGCAAGUCCCACCAGUUCCGUGUGGAAACGGAAUCGUGUGGCCGUCCCUCAGUGCAGCUCUUUUGGUGACAGCGGUCGGUGGCCAUUCCUGGGGCAGUUCUGUUACCGUUUUUCCUUAGACCAUUCUAUUUUAUUCCCUUCACACUUC